GAUGAACGCUAGCGGCAGGCCUAAUACAUGCAAGUCGGACGGGAUUCAGGAGCUUGCUUCUGAUGAGAGUGGCGCACGGGUGCGUAACACGUAUGUAACCUACCUUUAUCAGGGGGAUAGCCUCUCGAAAGAGAGAUUAAGCCCGCAUAAAAUCACAGCACAGCAUUGUGUAAUGAUCAAAUAUUUAUAGGAUAGAGAUGGGCAUGCGGAACAUUAGCUAGAUGGCGGGGUAACGGCCCACCAUGGCGACGAUGUUUAGGGGAUCUGAGAGGAUGGCCCCCCACACUGGUACUGAGACACGGACCAGACUCCUACGGGAGGCAGCAGUAAGGAAUAUGGGUCAAUGGGCGGAAGCCUGAACCAGCCAUGCCGCGUGCAGGAAGACGGCCCUACGGGUUGUAAACUGCUUUUAUACGGGAAUAAACCCAGAUACGUGUAUCUGGCUGAAUGUACUGUAAGAAUAAGGAUCGGCUAACUCCGUG
This 482-nucleotide ribosomal RNA is filed under the name uncultured bacterium. RNAcentral describes it as "partial 16S ribosomal RNA". It matches the Rfam family "Bacterial small subunit ribosomal RNA", at positions 28 to 507 of the family's 1533-position model. The record is from RNAcentral.